AGAAUAUAAGAACCCGACUCUUAACUUUUAACUGAAAAAUAGAGUUUUAAGAGCCGACACUUAACUUUUUCAGUUAAAAGUUAAGAGUCGGGUUCUUAUAUUCU
Brassica oleracea var. oleracea is the source of this 104-nucleotide microRNA precursor. It matches the Rfam family "MIR9563 microRNA precursor family". The record is from Rfam. NCBI's taxonomy places the organism in Eukaryota, Viridiplantae, Streptophyta, Magnoliopsida, Brassicales, Brassicaceae.